AUUGAACGCUGGCGGCAGGCCUAACACAUGCAAGUCGAACGAGUGGCGGACGGGUGAGUAAUGUCUGGGAAACUGCCUGAUGGAGGGGGAUAACUACUGGAAACGGUAGCUAAUACCGCAUACAAUCAGAUGUGUCCAGAUGGGAUUAGCUUGUGGGUGGGGUAACGGCGCACCAAGGCGACGAUACCUAGCUGGUCUGAGAGGAUGCGCAGCCACACUGGAACUGAGACACUGUCCAGACGCCUACGGGAGGCAGCAGUGGGGAAUAUUGCACAAGGGGCGCAAGCCUGAUGCAGCCAUGCCGCGUGUAUGAAGAAGGCCUUCGGGUUGUAAAGUACUUUCAGCGGGGAGGCGUUAACCGGAGAAGAAGCACCGGCUAACUCCGUGCCAGCAGCCGCGGUAAUUG
This 406-nucleotide ribosomal RNA is filed under the name uncultured bacterium. Its description in RNAcentral is "partial 16S ribosomal RNA". It matches the Rfam family "Bacterial small subunit ribosomal RNA", at positions 30 to 527 of the family's 1533-position model. The record is from RNAcentral.